AAGUCGUAACAAGGUUUCCGUAGGUGAACCUGCGGAAGGAUCAUUAACGAAGUCUGGGCUCCGGCCCUCUCUCUCUUAAUACAAACACUUGUGAACACACCAUGUUGCUUUGGUGGGAUUCACGACCGUCGCGCCUCCUCACGGGGGAAGAUGGUCGUGUCAGGUCGGAGACGACUCCCGCCAGAGGUCUUCAUUAAACCUUUACUAUUCAGUCUGACUAUUAUGAAUACAAAUCAUAACAAAACUUUCAACAAUGGAUCUCUUGGCUUUG
This 271-nucleotide unclassified non-coding RNA is filed under the name fungal sp. RNAcentral's name for it is "partial internal transcribed spacer region". The stretch from base 1 to 46 matches the Rfam family "Eukaryotic small subunit ribosomal RNA", at positions 1786 to 1831 of the family's 1831-position model. The record is from RNAcentral. Lineage: Eukaryota; Fungi.